UCCUGUGGCUGCCUGCUAUCAUCGUUUUCCUGCCACCCCAGGAGAGUGUUGCGGAAAUGAACCAGAUGAACGUCUGUUCAUGUUUCCCAAAUGAAACCCCACAGCACACAGCUUGGUCUACGUGAAAAUGUAGGACCAGACAUCUUACAAGCAGGAUGCUGAGGUGAUGAUGCCAGAGCCAGUGUUGAGUACACUGGUGGUCUAUCCAUCAUCAGGCUACUGCAUGUGUUCACAGAGGUUCUACUGAUGCCCACUCUGACCGUGGAGCCUUCAGGACGACAAACUUUGCGACCUGUACGCUCUCGUUGGCUGGCCCUCGCUUCAUACUCGUCGCCAAACCCACUGGCUCCAUGUCAUCUACAAGACCCUGCUAGGUAAAG
Oncorhynchus kisutch (coho salmon) is the source of this 380-nucleotide long non-coding RNA. RefSeq lists it as uncharacterized. The record is from RefSeq and is a predicted model, not a curated record. NCBI's taxonomy places the organism in Eukaryota, Metazoa, Chordata, Actinopteri, Salmoniformes, Salmonidae. The transcript has 3 exons.